UUGUCUUCAGGGCAGGGUGCAAUUCCCGAUCGGCGGUGAUAGUCCGCAAGCUAGCAUAAAAAUGCUGGCAGAUUUGGUUAAAUACCAAAACCGACAGUUAAAGUCUGGAUGAAAGAAGGCG
Molecule: non-coding RNA, 121 nt
Filed under: fish gut metagenome
Description: FMN riboswitch (RFN element)
Rfam family: FMN riboswitch aptamer (RFN element)
About the family: The RFN element is a highly conserved domain that is found frequently in the 5'-untranslated regions of prokaryotic mRNAs that encode for flavin mononucleotide (FMN) biosynthesis and transport proteins. This element is a metabolite-dependent riboswitch that directly binds FMN in the absence of proteins. In Bacillus subtilis, the riboswitch most likely controls gene expression by causing premature transcription termination within the 5' untranslated region of the ribDEAHT operon and precluding access to the ribosome-binding site of ypaA mRNA.
Source: RNAcentral